UAAGGGAGCCAGGGCUCGGACCCCCUCCCUGAGCCCAAGGUAACUCUGAAAGUUGAGGGGCA
Mus musculus (house mouse) is the source of this 62-nucleotide non-coding RNA. The record is from Rfam. Lineage: Eukaryota; Metazoa; Chordata; Mammalia; Rodentia; Muridae.